AAAGGGAGACCUAAUUCGGGUAUAAGACGAAAAAAUAGUAGUCGAAACCAAGAAUCAAUCCCAAAAGGUCGGAACGAGGUAUGUGGCUUUCAAACUAGGUUCUGGGUUCAUAAAAGACCUGAAUCAGGAACAAGGGCUAUUAGCUCAGGUGGUUAGAGCGCACCCCUGAUAAGGGUGAGGUCCCUGGUUCGAGUCCAGGAUGGCCCACCUGCACAGGUGGCAAAAACAAAGAAAAGAAGCUCCGAAUCAGCACCUUAUCUUACUCAUAUAGUAAGAGAGAAUGCUGGCUCUGAGUUCAGAGUCCAGAGGAACCUUGAAAACUGCAUAGAGCUAGGUGAAAAAGCCAAAAAAGAAGACCGCAAG
RNAcentral lists this transfer RNA (363 nucleotides) under uncultured Microcystis sp. Its description in RNAcentral is "partial 16S-23S ribosomal RNA intergenic spacer". The stretch from base 134 to 207 matches the Rfam family "tRNA". The record is from RNAcentral. Lineage: Bacteria; Bacillati; Cyanobacteriota; Cyanophyceae; Chroococcales; Microcystaceae.